ACAUGCAGUCGAGCGGACAGAUGGGAGCUUGCUCCCUGAUGUUAGCGGCGGACGGGUGAGUAACACGUGGGUAACCUGCCUGUAAGACUGGGAUAACUCCGGGAAACCGGGGCUAAUACCGGAUGCUUGAUUGAACCGCAUGGUUCAAUUAUAAAAGGUGGCUUUUAGCUACCACUUACAGAUGGACCCGCGGCGCAUUAGCUAGUUGGUGAGGUAACGGCUCACCAAGGCAACGAUGCGUAGCCGACCUGAGAGGGUGAUCGGCCACACUGGGACUGAGACACGGCCCAGACUCCUACGGGAGGCAGCAGUAGGGAAUCUUCCGCAAUGGACGAAAGUCUGACGGAGCAACGCCGCGUGAGUGAUGAAGGUUUUCGGAUCGUAAAACUCUGUUGUUAGGGAAGAACAAGUACCGUUCGAAUAGGGCGGUACCUUGACGGUACCUAACCAGAAAGCCACGGCUAACUACGUGCCAGCAGCCGCGGUAAUACGUAGGUGGCAAGCGUUGUCCGGAAUUAUUGGGCGUAAAGCGCGCGCAGGCGGUUUCUUAAGUCUGAUGUGAAAGCCCCCGGCUCAACCGGGGAGGGUCAUUGGAAACUGGGGAACUUGAGUGCAGAAGAGGAGAGUGGAAUUCCACGUGUAGCGGUGAAAUGCGUAGAGAUGUGGAGGAACACCAGUGGCGAAGGCGACUCUCUGGUCUGUAACUGACG
This 710-nucleotide ribosomal RNA is filed under the name Bacillus sonorensis. RNAcentral describes it as "bacterial SSU rRNA". It matches the Rfam family "Bacterial small subunit ribosomal RNA", at positions 53 to 745 of the family's 1533-position model. Lineage: Bacteria; Bacillati; Bacillota; Bacilli; Caryophanales; Bacillaceae. The record is from RNAcentral.